UACGGGGGGGGCUAGCGUUGUUCGGAAUUACUGGGCGUAAAGGGCUCGUAGGUGGCCAACUAAGUCAUGCGUGAAAUCCCUCGGCUUAACCGGGGAACUGCGUCUGAUACUGGAUGGCUUGAAUCCGGGAGAGGGAUGCGGAAUUCCAGGUGUAGCGGUGAAAUGCGUAGAUAUCAGGAGGAACACCGAUGGCGAAGGCAGGUCUCUGGGCAUUAACUGACGCUGAGGAGCGAAAGCAUGGGGAGCGAACAGG
RNAcentral lists this ribosomal RNA (253 nucleotides) under uncultured bacterium. RNAcentral describes it as "partial 16S ribosomal RNA". It matches the Rfam family "Bacterial small subunit ribosomal RNA", at positions 524 to 776 of the family's 1533-position model. The record is from RNAcentral.